This 2550-nucleotide long non-coding RNA is filed under the name Panax ginseng (ginseng). Its description in RNAcentral is "long non-coding RNA (PGIN_LNC010303)". The record is from RNAcentral. Lineage: Eukaryota; Viridiplantae; Streptophyta; Magnoliopsida; Apiales; Araliaceae.
UGGCUUGAAUUAUGUAUGCAGUGUUCCUCAACUCUUAAAGACCUCUCCGGGGAUAGUUAAGCCGCCAAAAAUUCCAAGAUAUUCAUCUGAAAGGAUAAUAAGAAGAUUUCAUAACUCGAUGUCUUCGUUGCAAGAUGAAUGUCAUGACAACAAAACUGAUGAUUAUGAUUCAAAUGAGGCCUUGGAGGAUAGCGUUGGCGGUGCUGACAACAUUAUUGGUACUGACAGUAAUCAAAAUAUAGGAGGGAUUUUAAGGAGCAUGAGCUUCGCAGUUCACAAUCAUAACCAUGAAAGUGGAGGAAUUUCUUUUGGGGAAAUGAACGAGGAGGAAUGGGAGUUGUUCUUGGAGAGUUUUGAAGAACUUCUGCCUGAAGCAUUCGACGGAAGAAAAAACAUGGGAUUCUCGAAGCAAAGGUUGGGAACUUCUUGCGAAUUCUAAAGAAAAAGUUUGGGACUGACUAUUAAAAACAGCAUAAUAGCAUGUAUCUAGUACGAUCGAGUAAAUGUGUACAUUAUUUUGCCAAAAUUACUACGCAUAGGAAGUCGAUUAGUAGUUGUUUGGAGCAUGGAUGGAAAAGUGAUUGGCCAGUCUCCAUCCUUUCCACCAUCUCACUUACUUGUGAUCAAUUCCUUAAUUUCUUCCCCCUCUUCCCUUCUCUACUAUAUAUAUCAAAUUAAGUUGUAUGUAUACAGGUGUAUAGUUUAUGUUUCUUGAACAUGAUAUUUGUAAAGGUUUAAUGGAAAUUUCAGACUGUUAAUAGCUAGUGAUUUUAUUCAAGUAAAAUUAUUGUAAGCCAUACAUGCAUACAUACAUAUUGCGAUAACACAGGACUGUACGUGAGUCUUUUGGCUUUAGUUGUACUAGCUAGCCUAGCCUUAUAUUUAUGCGCCUCACUCGAUCCAUCCACCAACAAAUCAUGUGUUGUAACUUUCGGAAUAAUGCAACUCAAUGUUACAAGCACAAACUACAGAAAUAUAUAUUGCUACACAACUAAAUUAAAAACAAAUACUCCCUCGAUCUAUUCCUGUUACAAGUGUCCCAUUAUAUUUGAUUUUCUACGUACCUUUUUACUCCUCCUAUUAAAGUUUGCCAACCCACACAAACAUAAUUUUUGUUUUUGCACUCUAAAUUCUUCCAUUUGCAUGCGCUCCAUUGUAGAACAAAAUAAAGAAAUUUGGAACGCAAACUUGUAAUAUUUAAAGCAAAGCUUCUUUGACAGUUGACACCUAGGUAUAGGUAACAAAAUUUCAAAUUCCAAAUGGGCACUUAUUUUGAGACAAAGUACCUAUACAUUUUGAUUUUUUCAAGUUAAAAAUUAAUAAGAUUAAUUUCGAUUAAAUUUUGAGUAUUUUGUGUUAGUUUACAAUUAUUAUAUUAACUAUUAAAAUAAUUUAAAAAAUCAAAACAUAUCUCCAAUUUUGAAAUCUAAUUUUGAAACCGAACUUGGGUAAUUGUUGAGAAAUUAAAACAAUUAAAUUCUUUAAGCAUGUAUGGAAGGAUUCUUUCUUAUUUAGAACCCAUGCUGAAUUCGGUCAACCGGUGAAUUUUAAUUGGUCUCGAACCUAUCUUAUGUAUCUUACUUUUAGCAGGACAAUAAACCAAGGACUUGAUGGUAAUUAUGAUCGUACCUUAUAUAUAAAAUAGAUAAAAAUCUUGUUUACACACACAAACUGUGUGUAGACCUUUUUAUUCCUCUGCCCGUGACCCUGCCCUGACCAAAGAUGGCGGAGUUUAAGACAGAAGAAACCCUGGUCGUCACGUGCUCCAUUCCCGGCAAGACCUCAGAUUCCGGCGAAGAUCCGCCGAUCUCCACCACCAAAACCGGCGGAGAGAAGCCCGAGCAGAACGACGCCGAGUCGUUUAGACAGACAAAGAGGAGGAAGAAUUGUCCGAGUGCUCUUGGGAAGUUUGAAGUUAGCGCCAAUUCGGCGUGCAAUUCGAGCUUUUCAUUCACUUUCGACACAAAUUCCCAAGCUACUACACUUCAGUUCACUCCCAAAUUUGGUUCCUUCAAAUUAGUUGAACCACCGGCGGCAGCGGCUUGUAUACAGAUUCCGGCGAGGGAAAAGAAAGAAGAAGAGUCUCAGCUGAGGGAAGUGUUGAGUUCAGCUGAUGUGAUGAGAAAUGGCGAUUGAUUUGUUUUUAUGCGUUGAAAUAUCAUUGGUUAAAGGGAGAAAAACAGCUCAACGAGUGAAACAUAUAAUUCGUUCGAGAUGGAGCAAAAUGAGUGGCAGGGAAGGAAGGAAAAUGAUCAUCAAAUUGGCUUGUAAUUAACUUUAGCUUGUACUUGUACUAAGAUCAUCAUCAGCUUCAGAAGCUCAAUUAAUUGGGUUUUAAUUUAUGUGUUUAAAGAAUUACUAAUUAAUUAAAAUAAAACAUGCUUGCUUUUUCCUACCUACCUGUUGUAUUUUCCCUCGUACGCUGAAUAGGAAUAGCUGCUUAAUGUCUGUCAUAACAUAAAGAAGAUCAUUCAUUCAUGUCAACUUUGAUCAACAAUACUUGUUUAAACUUUUAUAUAUAUGACAUAAUUAAUUACGUGUCCAAGUGGA